This 450-nucleotide ribosomal RNA is filed under the name uncultured bacterium. RNAcentral describes it as "bacterial SSU rRNA". It matches the Rfam family "Bacterial small subunit ribosomal RNA", at positions 30 to 476 of the family's 1533-position model. The record is from RNAcentral.
AUUGAACGCUGGCGGCAGGCCUAACACAUGCAAGUCGAACGGUAGCACAGAGAGCUUGCUCUCGGGUGACGAGUGGCGGACGGGUGAGUAAUGUCUGGGAAACUGCCUGAUGGAGGGGGAUAACUACUGGAAACGGUAGCUAAUACCGCAUAACGUCGCAAGACCAAAGAGGGGGACCUUCGGGCCUCUUGCCAUCAGAUGUGCCCAGAUGGGAUUAGCUAGUAGGUGGGGUAACGGCUCACCUAGGCGACGAUCCCUAGCUGGUCUGAGAGGAUGACCAGCCACACUGGAACUGAGACACGGUCCAGACUCCUACGGGAGGCAGCAGUGGGGAAUAUUGCACAAUGGGCGCAAGCCUGAUGCAGCCAUGCCGCGUGUAUGAAGAAGGCCUUCGGGUUGUAAAGUACUUUCAGCGGGGAGGAAGGUGUUGUGGUUAAUAACCGCAGCAAU